This 79-nucleotide transfer RNA is filed under the name Klebsiella phage vB_KaeM_LilPanda. RNAcentral describes it as "tRNA-Asp". It matches the Rfam family "tRNA". Rfam says of the family: Transfer RNA (tRNA) molecules are approximately 80 nucleotides in length. Their secondary structure includes four short double-helical elements and three loops (D, anti-codon, and T loops). The record is from RNAcentral. Lineage: Duplodnaviria; Heunggongvirae; Uroviricota; Caudoviricetes; Pantevenvirales; Straboviridae. RNAcentral also lists the same sequence under 1 other name.
UGGACCUAUAGUUUAGUUGGAUAAAAUACUCCCCUGUCACGGGAGAGAGCGCGAGUUCGAUCCUCGCUAGGUCCGCCAA